Molecule: ribosomal RNA, 253 nt
Filed under: uncultured bacterium
Lineage: Bacteria
Description: partial 16S ribosomal RNA
Rfam family: Bacterial small subunit ribosomal RNA
Source: RNAcentral
UACGGAGGGUGCAAGCGUUAUCCGGAUUCACUGGGUUUAAAGGGAGCGUAGGUGGGCUGGUAAGUCAGUGGUGAAAUCUCCGGGCUUAACCCGGAAACUGCCGUUGAUACUAUCAGUCUUGAAUGUUGUGGAGGUAAGCGGAAUAUGUCAUGUAGCGGUGAAGUGCUUAGAUAUGACAUAGAACACCGAUAGCGAAGGCAGCUUGCUACACAAUGAUUGACACUGAGGCUCGAAAGCGUGGGGAUCAAACAGG